UGAGGGGCGGGGCUGAGCAGCCAGCGAAGGAGCUGACUGCGCAAGUGCGGCUGCGGCGCUGGCUGGAAGCGCUGCGUUGCGUUUCGCUGCGCUGGCGCCGCCGCUGCUGUGGAGGUUCUGUGUGCAGUUGAAGUCUCUCUGUGCGCGCUCGGAAAUCCCUUUAAAGUUUCUUUUUAAUAAACUGCAAAGGAAUAUUACUCCUAAAUUAGCAGGAGACUGUGAGGACUGGCCUUCUCAUAGAUUUACUAUGCUCCAAGUGGAUGAUCUGAGAAUAGGACCCAGAAAGUCAGUGCCAAACCUCUCUUCUCCAGAAAAUUAACUCUGCACACCUCUAGCCCACUAGCACCUUCCCAGCCAGGAUUUAUCUCUACUAUACUUUGAAGAAUCACGCCAUGCAGGAUACUCAGCACCAUGCCUCUGUGAGUCCUCUGGAAGAAUGGAAGCUUUCCUUCCCAUGGGGUCAUUAGGAGAACUGUAAAGUUUCAGAAGAACAAAAGCAUACCCUCUGACGCGUACUUCAUGCCUGCUAAAAGGAAAAAGAGCCGACAGGCCCCCACCUCUGAGUCUGCACACACAAGCACUGCAAGACCUCUGGUGGCCUGCAUAUGGGUGGAGACAACGCCAUGCCUUGACUUCUACAAUGUAAUGGUGUCCACAACUCAGCCCACAGUCAGCCUCAAAUCUGGCACGGCAAUUGCUUUGUUUCUGACCUUUAUUCAAUACAUUUCUAUGUGAAGAACAACUAUUUGAAAGGUUUUUAUUGUGGGAAACUGGGAUAAGCUGCUUUGUUGCCUUGCAGACAUAAGAGUACCCUGGCUGUUAGGAUGUCGGAAUCAGCUUUUCAUCAUUAGCAAGUCCUGCUAUGUCAUUCUCCAAAAGGCUGUCCUCUCAAACCACCAGUAAUGAUUUGAUAGAGUUGAUAAGUUAUUAACAUGAUAUGAUAAAAUCCUUAUUUCCGUCUACAAAUGUCGAAUUUGAUUAACAUAAUGAUAUAAUGAUAGAAACUAUCAUUUCCAAAAUCUGGUAGGGACCUUAUCACACGUAAGCAAAGCUGGUUUUAGUUCUACUUAAAAAACAAUAUGCUUUCUAUGAGAUCUCGAGCCAUUCCUUUACUAUUUGCACUAUUAUCUUCUCUCUGAACGCUUUCUCUUUGGCUGAUGGCCUUUUAGGUCAUGCUAGAUGAGAGAAGGUUAUGCUAGAUGAGAGAAGGUUGGUGCUGACAUACAUAUGCCCCACCCACACUUCUCUAAAUGUCAGUUGUCACUUGCAGUUGCAAAUACUUACCCCUGGUCUUGGAAUAAUGAAAAUAAAGUUUAUUGUCUUAUGUGCUAUAAUUAUUCAAAGAUGAUGCAGCCAUCCAUAUAUUUGUCUGAGAACUGCUCUUGUCAGUAUAAUACUUAGCAGGGUAGAAUUAUAUGUGAAUUCUGUUUAUGAUUCCCUGUCAUAGCCCAAUAAAAAAUAAAACCAAGUGAUGAAAUAAACUGA
Molecule: long non-coding RNA, 1485 nt
Organism: Felis catus (domestic cat)
Lineage: Eukaryota; Metazoa; Chordata; Mammalia; Carnivora; Felidae
Exons: 4
Source: RefSeq, a predicted model, not a curated record